Molecule: ribosomal RNA, 431 nt
Filed under: uncultured bacterium
Lineage: Bacteria
Description: partial 16S ribosomal RNA
Rfam family: Bacterial small subunit ribosomal RNA
Source: RNAcentral
AACGAACGCUGGCGGCAUGCCUAACACAUGCAAGUCGAACGAGACCUUCGGGUCUAGUGGCGCACGGGUGCGUAACGCGUGGGAACCUGCCCUUAGGUUCGGAAUAACUCCCCGAAAGGGGUGCUAAUACCGGAUAAUGUCUUCGGACCAAAGAUUUAUCGCCUUUGGAUGGGCCCGCGUUGGAUUAGCUAGUUGGUAGGGUAAAAGCCUACCAAGGCGACGAUCCAUAGCUGGUCUGAGAGGAUGAUCAGCCACACUGGGACUGACACGGCCCAGACUCCUACGGAAGGCAGCAGUGGGGAAUAUUGGAAAAAGGGCGAAAGCCUGAUCCAGCAAUGCCGCGUGAGUGAUGAAGGCCUUAGGGUUGUAAAGCUCUUUUACCCGGGAUGAUAAUGACAGUACCGGGAGAAUAAGCUCCGGCUAACUCCGUG